RNAcentral lists this ribosomal RNA (301 nucleotides) under uncultured bacterium. Its description in RNAcentral is "partial 16S ribosomal RNA". It matches the Rfam family "Bacterial small subunit ribosomal RNA", at positions 509 to 807 of the family's 1533-position model. The record is from RNAcentral.
CAGCCGCCGCGGGAAUACGUAGGGUGCAAGCGUUAUCCGGAAUUAUUGGGCGUAAAGAGCUCGUAGGCGGUUUGUCGCGUCUGCUGUGAAAACUGGAGGCUCAACCUCCAGCCUGCAGUGGGUACGGGCAGACUAGAGUGCGGUAGGGGAGAUUGGAAUUCCUGGUGUAGCGGUGGAAUGCGCAGAUAUCAGGAGGAACACCGAUGGCGAAGGCAGAUCUCUGGGCCGUAACUGACGCUGAGGAGCGAAAGCAUGGGGAGCGAACAGGAUUAGAUACCCCCGUAGUCCCUGUCUCUUAUAC